Long non-coding RNA from Tachysurus fulvidraco (yellow catfish), 1315 nucleotides. RefSeq lists it as uncharacterized. The transcript has 4 exons. NCBI's taxonomy places the organism in Eukaryota, Metazoa, Chordata, Actinopteri, Siluriformes, Bagridae. The record is from RefSeq and is a predicted model, not a curated record.
UCCAUCCAUCCAUCCAAGAAUAAUUCACCUUUUAACUCACAAAUUUCCCUAUAAAGUCUAAAAAUUUCAAUCUAACUUAGCCAAUCUAAUUUAAUGUAUUUUUAAAUUUCUUGUAUUUUUUUAUAUAUAUAUAAUAAAAAUCUUGUUAUUCAUUUUUAAUAUUUUUAAAUAAUAAUCCUGUAUUAAUCUUGUAUUUAUUAAUAUUUUUUAAAAAAUCACUUAUUUUGAAAAGUAGAAGUUGGAAAUUGGAGCUCACGUGACACUGAAGUUUGCAGUCCGUUCAGAAUCAGUAACAGAUGGUGAGUCUGUGAGUAUAGAGGAUGACAGUGUGUAUCAGGAGAACACGUCCAGCUUGUUAGAGAAAGAGAGAGCGAGGUUUUAUAAGAGGUGGCCUGGUGAUGACUCUGGAGGCCGUAGAGGACCCUGCUGUGACGGGUUUUGUGGUCAUGUUGUUGGGCAGCAGUUUCCCGCUGUGGUGGCGUAGCAGUGCUAGACGAGCUAUAGUAGUGAACAGGAGCGUUAAAUCCACUCCACCCUUUGGUUACCCCGAGCGUGAUUCUCCCAGAUCCCGUCCGUGACCUGUCCAGCCGGCGAUCCGCCCACUUCAGCCCCGGACGCUGUCCCCUUCCCUGGACAAAAGAAGUCCCGGCCUUGACGGUCACCCACUCUGUCCCCUAUCAAGCCAUCCAAGCAUACAGGGAGCACAUUAGCCCUGAUUUGGUUUUGUGCCUCGUCCUUUUUCUCACGUGCUUCCACACGCCCUCUAAUUUAGACUCCAGAUGCAUCAGGUGCACUCUGGACUUCGCCACACCAAAUGACCCCAAAGCCAUCAUGGCCACUUGACCCCAUAGGCCUUUAUACUGCACUGUCAGCUCCUGUAGCAUCACUCGAGCGCAAAUGCGGUCCUCAGAACUCGACACAAAGACGGACGUGUCGUCCUCUAUGAAAGCGUCGUUCUUCGUCUGACGCUAUAAGUGUUGUUUUUAAAAGAAUCGUACAAUCUGUUCUGGACCGAUACACACAAGUUUAAACUCACAUAAGAACAAUAAAGCAGAUCAUUAACUGCUCGACCUCUCAGAAAUAAAGGUCUUAUAAAGGUUCAUGCAGACCAUCAGACCAAAUCAGAUCAUCACACACACCAAAUCUCUGAAGUGAGACACUAGACAUCAGAAAGCACGAUGAACACGAGACACUGUGGAACUGUUACACCAGCAAGAGUUUACCACACACACUCACAUUUCAUUACUAAACAUCUCACACACACACUCUCUCUCUCUCUCUCUCUCUCUCUCUCUCUCACACACACACACACACA